Molecule: long non-coding RNA, 410 nt
Filed under: Vigna radiata
Lineage: Eukaryota; Viridiplantae; Streptophyta; Magnoliopsida; Fabales; Fabaceae
Description: long non-coding RNA (VRAD_LNC016657)
Source: RNAcentral
GAUGAGGAUGCUCCAGCCAGUAACGUGGAUUGAAUGCAGCGGAGGAUGUGAAUCAAAGUGGACAACGUGAUGCAGUGAUAGCAAACAGCGGAUGGAGAUGGCUUCACGGAGGCUAUUGGCGGAGGCAGAGUUUUUGGUGGAGAGAAUACUAGCUCAGGAGGCCUUCCAUUGGAAGGAAGCUAGUUGAAGAAAUGGAAGAAACUCAAUGAAGGACUUUCGGUAGAGAUUUCAGGUUGCUGGAAUUAUCAUCAGUAGAGGAGAAAACUCAUAGUAUUUCCAAAAGUGAAUACAAGNGCAGCCAAGGUGAGUUAUAUAGACUCCUCAACCUUGGGCUUGUGAUGAAAAACGUGUUCAGCCACUAUGAAUCACGUUGCCUAACUCUAAUACAUGUGCUAAAUGUGCUAGCUUCU